UACGGGGGGGGCAAGCGUUGUUCGGAAUUACUGGGCGUAAAGGGCUCGUAGGCGGCCAACUAAGUCAUACGUGAAAUCCCUCGGCUUAACCGGGGAACUGCGUCUGAUACUGGAUGGCUUGAGAUUGGGAGAGGGAUGCGGAAUUCCAGGUGUAGCGGUGAAAUGCGUAGAUAUCUGGAGGAACACCGGUGGCGAAGGCGGCAUCCUGGACCGGUAUUGACGCUGAGGAGCGAAAGCCAGGGGAGCAAACGGG
RNAcentral lists this ribosomal RNA (253 nucleotides) under uncultured bacterium. RNAcentral's name for it is "partial 16S ribosomal RNA". It matches the Rfam family "Bacterial small subunit ribosomal RNA", at positions 524 to 776 of the family's 1533-position model. The record is from RNAcentral.